CCUACGGGUGGCAGCAGUGAGGAAUAUUGGUCAAUGGACGAGAGUCUGAACUAGCCAAGUAGCGUGAAGGAUGACUGCCCUAUGGGUUGUAAACUUCUUUUAUAUGGGAAUAAAACGUUCCACGUGUGGGAUUUUGUAUGUACCAUAUGAAUAAGGAUCGGCUAACUCCGUGCCAGCAGCCGCGGUAAUACGGAGGAUCCGAGCGUUAUCCGGAUUUAUUGGGUUUAAAGGGAGCGUAGGUGGAUUGUUAAGUCAGUUGUGAAAGUUUGCGGCUCAACCGUAAAAUUGCAGUUGAAACUGGCAGUCUUGAGUACAGUAGAGGUGGGCGGAAUUCGUGGUGUAGCGGUGAAAUGCUUAGAUAUCACGAAGAACUCCGAUUGCGAAGGCAGUUCACUGGACUGCAACUGACACUGAGGCUCGAAAGUGUGGGUAUCAAACAGGAUUAGAUACCCCAGUAGUC
This 460-nucleotide ribosomal RNA is filed under the name uncultured bacterium. RNAcentral's name for it is "partial 16S ribosomal RNA". It matches the Rfam family "Bacterial small subunit ribosomal RNA", at positions 338 to 795 of the family's 1533-position model. The record is from RNAcentral.